This 519-nucleotide ribosomal RNA is filed under the name uncultured fungus. RNAcentral describes it as "SSU rRNA". It matches the Rfam family "Eukaryotic small subunit ribosomal RNA", at positions 569 to 1083 of the family's 1831-position model. The record is from RNAcentral. Lineage: Eukaryota; Fungi.
AGCAGCCGCGGUAAUUCCAGCUCCAAUAGCGUAUAUUAAAGUUGUUGCAGUUAAAAAGCUCGUAGUUGAAUUUCGGGAUUGGCGUGUCGGUCGUGCCCUAAGGGGUAUGAACUGGCAUCGUUGAUUCUCACCUUCUGGAGAAUCACGACGCCCUUAAUUGGGUGUCGUGUGGAUCCAGGACCUUUACCUUGAAAAAAUUAGAGUGUUUAAAGCAGGCAUUAUUGCUCGAAUACAUUAGCAUGGAAUAAUAAAAUAGGACGGCUUGGUUCUAUUUUGUUGGUUUCUAGGAUCACCGUAAUGAUUAAUAGGGAUAGUUGGGGGCAUUAGUAUUCAAUUGUCAGAGGUGAAAUUCUUGGAUUUAUUGAAGACUAACUACUGCGAAAGCAUUUGCCAAGGAUGUUUUCAUUAAUCAAGAACGAAAGUUAGGGGAUCGAAGACGAUCAGAUACCGUCGUAGUCUUAACCAUAAACUAUGCCGACUAGGAAUCAGACGAUGUUAAUUUUUUAAUGACUCGUUUGG